UGGGGAAUAUUGGACAAUGGGCGAAAGCCUGAUCCAGCCAUGCCGCGUGUGUGAAGAAGGUCUUCGGAUUGUAAAGCACUUUAAGUUGGGAGGAAGGGCAGUAACCUAAUACGUUGCUGUCUUGACGUUACCGACAGAAUAAGCACCGGCUAACUCUGUGCCAGCAGCCGCGGUAAUACAGAGGGUGCAAGCGUUAAUCGGAAUUACUGGGCGUAAAGCGCGCGUAGGUGGUUUGUUAAGUUGGAUGUGAAAUCCCCGGGCUCAACCUGGGAACUGCAUUCAAAACUGACAAGCUAGAGUAUGGUAGAGGGUGGUGGAAUUUCCUGUGUAGCGGUGAAAUGCGUAGAUAUAGGAAGGAACACCAGUGGCGAAGGCGACCACCUGGACUGAUACUGACACUGAGGUGCGAAAGCGUGGGGAGCAAACAGGAUUAGAUACCCAUGUAGUCCCUGAGCGGGCUGGCAAGGCGCAU
RNAcentral lists this ribosomal RNA (472 nucleotides) under uncultured bacterium. Its description in RNAcentral is "bacterial SSU rRNA". It matches the Rfam family "Bacterial small subunit ribosomal RNA", at positions 355 to 825 of the family's 1533-position model. The record is from RNAcentral.